UACGGAGGAUCCAAGCGUUAUCCGGAAUCAUUGGGUUUAAAGGGUCCGUAGGCGGUUUAGUAAGUCAGUGGUGAAAGCCCAUCGCUCAACGGUGGAACGGCCAUUGAUACUGCUAGACUUGAAUUAUUAGGAAGUAACUAGAAUAUGUAGUGUAGCGGUGAAAUGCUUAGAGAUUACAUGGAAUACCAAUUGCGAAGGCAGGUUACUACUAAUUGAUUGACGCUGAUGGACGAAAGCGUGGGGAGCGAACAGG
RNAcentral lists this ribosomal RNA (253 nucleotides) under uncultured bacterium. RNAcentral's name for it is "partial 16S ribosomal RNA". It matches the Rfam family "Bacterial small subunit ribosomal RNA", at positions 524 to 776 of the family's 1533-position model. The record is from RNAcentral. RNAcentral also lists the same sequence under 1 other name.